This 1463-nucleotide long non-coding RNA is filed under the name Ananas comosus (pineapple). RNAcentral's name for it is "long non-coding RNA (ACOM_LNC000678)". Lineage: Eukaryota; Viridiplantae; Streptophyta; Magnoliopsida; Poales; Bromeliaceae. The record is from RNAcentral.
UUAAUCUAAUAAUUUAUUAGCAAACUUAAUUGCUAAUUAAUUGAUUACUUCUAUUUAUAUAUCCUAACUAUACAAAUAAACUUACUAAAUACUAUUUACUAAUAGGAAUUAUGCUACUAUACUAUCAAUAGUAUCAAGCACUUAGAUCUAUAACGUUUUUGGCGGUAGGAUGAAUGGAUGUAUGGUUAAGAUGAUAGUAGACUCCAAGGGUUGAAUUUGUGGUUAGUUGAAUAAUAUAAUUUAACGGGUGCAAAUGAUCAAAGGGUAGAUCUAACGGCAGAAAAUUUGAUAGUAUCAAAAGCUUGGUACUAUCGAUAGUAUAGUAGCCGGACUCUUACUAAUAGUAUGAUUAUAAUUAAUUGGUGAAGUCCCUAUAUUUUAUAUUAUAAUUCCUCUUUGUUCCAAUUAUUCCAAUUUAAUCAUCCAAACACAAUUUCUUUAUUCUUAGUAAUAACACAAUUCUCACCUAAACACAAAAUUAAUUAUAUAUCCCUACUUAUUCCUAUAGUUAUAUCUAUCCCAAUAAUGAGAAGAUAUGUAGUAUUUCCGAACAAAAAAGGUGUGGCGGACUUAUCUAUACUAUUUAUAAAAGCGUGAGUUUUAAAUUUUUUCAUCUUUUCCAAAAUGCCGAUCCCUAUUAAUAUAAUUCCAAUUACAUACUAAUAAUAUAAUUCAUGCAACUUUAAUAGAAUAAAUCACAGCCGUACAAUUUUUAUUUUAUUUUUAAAUUAUCAUAAAAUAUAUUAAUUCUUAGUCAUUCGAUCUAAUCUAAUGACUGACGAAUUAAGUAUCUGUCACUUUUUUUACCUAAAUUGCCCUUAGAUAGUAUGUAUCAAAUUUCACUUUUUAUAUGUGUGUCAUAUCUCCUAAUAACCGCCACCAACAUAAUAUCAUAUUUUAUCACAAAUAAUAUUCGCAUUUCUUAAAUAUUUUCAUUCUCACAUGUAAUAUCCACCACCUAUAUAAUAUCCAAUCACAUAAUACCUUCCGCAUAUAUAAUAUUUAAUCAUAUUUUUUUAAAAGUGAAUAUAUAAAAAUUAUCUCAAUUUUACCUACUAAUAUUUAAAAUAUGAGAUAUUUUUUCAAUAAAAUAUAACAUAUAAAUUUACAAUUUAAAAUUUUAAAUUUGUAGUAAAUAUGAUUCACAAAUUGAUAUUGAUUUGAGAUAAUUAUUAAAAUAAUUAUUGACACAGACAUACCCUUUUUUAGUCGGAAAAAAUAUUGCAUUCUAUUUGCGAGAAUAGAAAAAAAUUUAUACUUAUCCAAAUUUUUGUCAACCGAAAGAUAUUUGCGCGUCCCAUAAAAUAAUAUUCCAUACUUAUCAAAAAAACGAAAAUCUCUAUGCAACAAACAUUGAAAAUAUUUUGUAUCUACUAUCUCUCAAUUAGCUAACUAAAAAAAAUUAGAUUUGAAAAAAAAAUAAUUUAAAUAAGCUUAUAAAAUCAACUUUAAAUUUUAAAUUU